GAAGCAAUGAUGAGAUGAAAACACAAAGGUGUGUUGGGCAGUGGGUAAUACCGUGAGCCUUGACAAUUUAAAACGACUUCUCCUUCCACUGAGCUUC
Thalictrum thalictroides is the source of this 97-nucleotide non-coding RNA. The record is from the annotation of a GenBank genome assembly. NCBI's taxonomy places the organism in Eukaryota, Viridiplantae, Streptophyta, Magnoliopsida, Ranunculales, Ranunculaceae.